CACCAACCAAAAGGUCUUAUACCAUGAUUCAUUGACUCUGCAUCGCGUGUCAGGCAAGUGAUUACAGCAAGCUGGCAUGACGUUCUGGUGAUAGUUAGCUAGUCGUCUAACAGGUCUGGAUCAAACUUUAAUUGGUCCAUUUUCUUUUUCCCUUCUACCUAUAGGUGAUUUUCCGUUGCCUGUUAUAGCAAGGAUCGUUGUUCAAUUUUUACAGCUGUUAGAAGGAAUAGAAGGAAAUUUUUAAUUGCAAUAGCUUUUAACUUUUUGAGGG
Molecule: unclassified non-coding RNA, 271 nt
Filed under: Hevea brasiliensis (rubber tree)
Lineage: Eukaryota; Viridiplantae; Streptophyta; Magnoliopsida; Malpighiales; Euphorbiaceae
Source: RNAcentral